CGUUUUAACGUGCCAACAAGGGUGUGCUCUCUCUCCCGCGCGCGCCCGCGCAUACACGUAUACUAGGGCUAUCAGUCACCGUAGUAAUGGCGACGAUUGAAGAGAAGUCAUCGAACAAGGAAGGGAACAACCUGCUGGCCACACCGACCUUCACGGAGCUCGUGAAUGGACGCUUCAAGUGCGUGGAGACUGGCCACGAAGUGCUCGCCAAAGACAGGGAAUCCUACUCUCAGUCCAAACGGUGUCGUUUGUGUCUCAUCGACUUCGCUAUCUCCCAAAAUAAACCUCCUCUCAACAUGUUCAAGCAAGAUCCUCUCUCCCGUUCAAAGUUGAUAUGUAAGCUAACAGGAGACACCAUAAAUAAGUGCGAGGAACAUAUAUGGAAGCACAUCAAUGGCAAACGAUUCCUCAACAAACUAGAGGAUAAGGAAGCAGAAAAGCUAACCUCAGAUGGAAAAUCAGAAGAGAAGAGUUGGCAGAAGCCCCAAAAAGCAUCAAAGCCAUCCACGGUUGGUAUAAUGAAGAAGAAGAAGAAGGAUAAAGACAAAGGAGUUGAUGAGAUUAUCUCUGUAGUCAGGAAUUUGUCUGAUGAGAGCACUGAUUCAGAAGAAGCUGAUUUCUGGAUGCCUCUUGUGGGAGAACACCGUGAUUUUGAUAAUGGAGGAGAUCGAUGGUGUUGCAGUUCAGAGUCGGGGCAGGAAAGCGACAAGGUUAAUGGAAUGGCUGAAGAAGGUGGCAAGGACACAGAAGAACUCUCUAUGUGGACAAAAAGAAUGUCCAUUGAAAUUGGACCUAGCAGUUUUGCCUCAAGGAAGAAAAGGUGCAAGAAGAAUCUGACAAAUUAAUAUGCUCAUCAUAAUUUACUGCUAGCAAUUUGUUGGAAAAUGAAGCUUUGAAGUUUCUCCUAUGUUUACAAAAAUCAAUGUUGGAACAACGAACAAUACACGGCAAAGGAUAUGCACUUAUGCCAGUCGAAUCUCGAACAGCAGCAGCAAAGACUCCCAGAUCAACCCCAUUCCUGCAUUGAAUCCCAUAAUCUCGUUGAAGAUCAGCCAGGUUGCUUUUGAUGCUGACACCAACAAAUGUUAUAUCUGAAAGAUCGAGAAACUUGGAAAGGGAAGUGGGUAGUUUCUCGAAGUGUGUAAGGUGUAUAAUAAGGCAAUCAUUUUCUACACCUAGCAUCAACACUACAACUCUUUCCUUGACCAUUCCGUAACUAGCUGAGCAGAAUGACUUCUCUAUAUCUAAAGCCACAACUCUCUCAGGGACAUUACCUCUCUCAUGCAGCUUUUCAUUAACCUUAGACAAGAGUAAUCUAAGGCUCUCUUCCAGCGCCAGCUCAUCGGUCACAACAGUCGUUUUGAACUUUCCUCUAAGGGCUUUGAAGUUAAAAGACCUUGACAUCUUCUAAAGUGAAAUGGAAGGAUAAACUAUUCUUCAUUCAAAUAAAGAAUAAGAAUGAUGAGCUACUGCAUUGGACUAGCAAGAGGUGGCUAUUUAUAUGCAACCUAGAUAUAUUGUAUGAACUCCUGCUAAAUUGCUCUGCCUCUUCGGUUGCAGCAAAGCUAGAAUUCCAAGAUGGGGUGUAGUGAUAUUGUCUUUGGGAAGCUACACCGGCUUUGACAACUACAUGGAAACUUGAAGAGGAAGACCGAGAGUCACCUCUUUUCCAGGUUUAAUUUCCGCCGCGUAACUUAGUACAUGGUUUUUUGUUUUUUUAUUCAAUUCUCAUCUCUUUAUUAACUUCUUUCUGAUAGUAACUCAACAAGCAAUAAUACGAUUAAAGUUGCACUUAAUUAAAAGAUACGAAUACACCUAAUUUUGGUAGGAAAAAAUGGGUAUCCAUGGUAUUACAGACAAAACAAAUUUCAUGAUUCCCGCACCCCACAACUUCAUUCUUCUUGGGGGUUGAGCCAGAUGAAACAGCCUUUUGGCAGAGAGAUCUUGGUAGACUUGUUAGGAUAUAAAGGACGUUUUGUUCGACUGUUAGUUCCCUACCCUCUCAUCCAGUUUCUGAUUCUCAUACAUUUAUUAUUCUUUUUCCCGCCUCAAUCUAACGAAUAUGUAAAAUAUCGAGCGUGGGCUUGAAACAAUUGAGCAAAUCUCUCCUAUAUAUUUUAUUCUUCAUCGUCCCGAAAUUCUCAUUGUUUAAUUGCUGUCAUAUCUUUAUCAAUGAAAGGAUGGUCCACAUAUUUUCUUCACGCAGAGUGGGGACUAUUCUAAGCUAGAAAAUGUGUCAUUCUUAGACAAAUGGGACCUGUUUUUUGUAAUGUCAAAUGCCCCGGUCACUUCUGAAGAUGAUGAAUUAUGCAGUGCCCGCUAGAUGUUACAUUCGCUAGUUGCUUGCCUGUGUGCCCACUUUGGAUAAUCUCUUCUAUGCAGUGCCCGCUAGAUGGUAGUCUUAAUUUAGGAAAAUGAUUGUCCAAAUUUUGUAUAAGCCUUUUGAAAAGAAAUGGCAUUCGCCUGAAAGAUUUUAUUUAUUUUUUAAUAAAUUUAUACAUUUUAAAUUUAUAUCUAACAUUAAAUGGCAACAUCAGCAUGGUCAAGAACUGUUAGGCAAGUGUGUGAGUACGGUAUUUAAUGGGUUUGGCACAAUGAAUUCAAUGUUCCAUAGAAUAGGUUGGUAAAGGAAAUUAUGGUUAUGGGUUUUCGGACCCUUGACCCUUGUCAUCCUGCCUACUGGUUUAAUCUUGUACGCGUGGCUGCUUUCUUAACAUCGCUCGAUGUAAGCCAGCCUUAAGUAUCUUCAUCAUUUUCCAUCGAUGAUGAUGAACAUACACAUCAAGUGUGGGUGGUGUGUCAAUUGUCACUUCCUUCGUCAUCAAACAAAAAGGUAGGCAAAAAGAUGAUAAUCUCCGUAUUAUGCUCCACCCAUUACCCGCUUCUCUCUAUCACAUUAAAUGCACUCAACAGCUACUGAAAACCAACCCCUUCCUGUGAUAUCAUUACUUCAGAAAACCCCAACUACUCGUGUAUUAGUUUCUCUGACUAGAAAUAAAGGCUGGCCAUAUAACUUCUCCAUGGAGAUAUCAGGGUUUAACUUGUGUCUGAACGGCCAUGCCUCUCACUGAGAUGGCCUCGGUAUUCAAGUUUCCUUACCAAAGACUUGGAAAUGAAGGUGGCUUUGAAGAUUAUGAAGAAAGAGAGAGGGUGGUUUUGAGAUCGAGGGCUUGGUGCAGGUUCAAAAGGGUGUCCAUAAGGAGGAGGUUCAAGCUUAAGGUCCCAAACUUGAGGAAGUUCUUGAGGAGGAAAGCUAGGCUGCUCUCUGCAUUCAGAGUGUCAUGUUCAUGGGCUAAGGUGCUGAAGAGAUUGAAGGAAAGUCAGGCUCAUUUUGGUGAUAUUUUUGCUGGAAACUACCUGUUCAUUCAAGUCAACCCAACCUCAUUGACAUGCCUUAAAAGGGAUCGUGAUGUUUGUGGCCUGUCCUCGAGGUACUCUCUUCCAAGAAUUGCUUAAUCGUGCUAUCGAUCGCUCACUGUAUUUGCAUUCUUGCACAUCUGAGAUGUGAAUAAUGCUUAACAUGGGAAGGGAACCACUCCACAUGUGAAACUUCUUUAAUGCUGCAAUAAAGUUAUUUCAGAAGCAUAGUAUGAAAGUUUUUUUUUUUUCUCCUUCCCAAACCAGCGGUGAAAUACCAAUACCCUACAAUGCAUUUUGUAUUGUA
Molecule: RNA transcript, 3664 nt
Organism: Juglans regia (Persian walnut)
Lineage: Eukaryota; Viridiplantae; Streptophyta; Magnoliopsida; Fagales; Juglandaceae
Exons: 6
Source: RefSeq, a predicted model, not a curated record